Molecule: ribosomal RNA, 665 nt
Filed under: uncultured bacterium
Lineage: Bacteria
Description: bacterial SSU rRNA
Rfam family: Bacterial small subunit ribosomal RNA
Source: RNAcentral
AUAGCUUGCUAUAAUUGUCAGCUAAGUGGCGCACGGGUGAGUAAUGUAUAGGUAAUAUGCCUCUUACUAAGGGAUAACAAAUGGAAACGUUUGUUAAUACCUUAUACUCCUUAUUAACAGAAGUUAAUAAGGGAAAGAUUUAUUGGUAAGAGAUUAGCCUGUAUUGUAUCAGUUAGUUGGUGGGGUAAUGGCUUACCAAGACUAUGACACAUAACUGGUUUGAGAGGAUGAUCAGUCACACUGGAACUGAGACACGGUCCAGACUCCUACGGGAGGCAGCAGUGGGGAAUAUUGCACAAUGGACGAAAGUCUGAUGCAGCAACGCCGCGUGGAGGAUGACACAUUUCGGUGCGUAAACUCCUUUUAUAUGAGAAGAUAAUGACGGUAUUAUAUGAAUAAGCACCGGCUAACUCCGUGCCAGCAGCCGCGGUAAUACGGGGGGUGCAAGCGUUACUCGGAAUCACUGGGCGUAAAGAGCAUGUAGGCGGAUUAAUAAGUUUGAAGUGAAAUCCUAUAGCUUAACUAUAGAACUGCUUUGAAAACUGUUAAUCUAGAAUGUGGGAGAGGUAGAUGGAAUUUCUGGUGUAGGGGUAAAAUCCGUAGAGAUCAGAAGGAAUACCGAUUGCGAAGGCGAUCUACUGGAACAUUAUUGACGCUGAGAUGCG